Molecule: ribosomal RNA, 253 nt
Filed under: uncultured bacterium
Lineage: Bacteria
Description: partial 16S ribosomal RNA
Rfam family: Bacterial small subunit ribosomal RNA
Source: RNAcentral
UACGUAGGGGGCAAGCGUUAUCCGGAUUUACUGGGUGUAAAGGGAGCGUAGACGGCAGAGCAAGUCUGAAGUGAAAGCCUGCGGCCCAACUGCGGGACUGCUUUGGAAACUGCCCGACUAGAGUGCUGGAGAGGUAAGCGGAAUUCCUAGUGUAGCGGUGAAAUGCGUAGAUAUUAGGAGGAACACCAGUGGCGAAGGCGGCUUACUGGACAGUAACUGACGUUGGGGCUCGAAAGCGUGGGGAGCAAACAGG